GUAGGGAAUAUUGGGCAAUGGAGGCAACUCUGACCCAGCCAUGCCGCGUGCAGGAUGACGGCCCUCUGGGUUGUAAACUGCUUUUAUACGGGAAGAAAAAAUACUACGUGUAGUAUACUGACGGUACCGUAAGAAUAAGGAUCGGCUAACUCCGUGCCAGCAGCCGCGGUAAUACGGAGGAUCCAAGCGUGGUCCGGAUUUAUUGGGUUUAAAGGGUGCGUAGGCGGAUCUUUAAGUCAGUGGUGAAAGCCUGCAGCUUAACUGUAGAAUUGCCAUUGAAACUGAAGAUCUUGAAUAUUGUUAAAGUAGGCGGAAUGUAUCAUGUAGCGGUGAAAUGCUUAGAUAUGAUACAGAACACCGAUAGCGAAGGCAGCUUGCUGAACCAUUAUUGACGCUGAGGCACGAAAGCGUGGGGAGCGAACAGGAUUAGAUACCCGAGUAGUCC
Molecule: ribosomal RNA, 445 nt
Filed under: uncultured bacterium
Lineage: Bacteria
Description: partial 16S ribosomal RNA
Rfam family: Bacterial small subunit ribosomal RNA
Source: RNAcentral